RNAcentral lists this ribosomal RNA (392 nucleotides) under uncultured bacterium. Its description in RNAcentral is "partial 16S ribosomal RNA". It matches the Rfam family "Bacterial small subunit ribosomal RNA", at positions 523 to 918 of the family's 1533-position model. The record is from RNAcentral.
AUACGGAGGAUCCGAGCGUUAUCCGGAUUUAUUGGGUUUAAAGGGUGCGCAGGCGGCCAUUUAAGUCAGCGGUUAAAUCGUGGGGCUCAACCCCAUUCUGCCGUUGAUACUGGGUGGCUUGAUUGCGGUCGAGGUUGGCGGAAUUCGUUGUGUAGCGGUGAAAUGCAUAGAUAUGACGAAGAACACCGAUUGCGUAGGCAGCUGACCAGACCGCAAAUGACGCUCAUGCACGAAAGUGCGGGGAUCGAACAGGAUUAGAUACCCCGGUAGUCCGCACAGUAAACGAUGAAUACUUGUUUUCGGCGAUAUAAUGUCGGAGGCAAAGCGAAAGCGAUAAGUAUUCCACCUGGGGAGUACGCCGGCAACGGUGAAACUUAAAGGAAUUGACGGGG